Musa acuminata AAA Group (dessert banana) is the source of this 680-nucleotide long non-coding RNA. RefSeq lists it as uncharacterized. The transcript is spliced from 4 exons. The record is from RefSeq and is a predicted model, not a curated record. Lineage: Eukaryota; Viridiplantae; Streptophyta; Magnoliopsida; Zingiberales; Musaceae.
UCGGCUCACUGUGGCCCGUUCAGUUUGGGCACGACGGCUUUAGCAUCUCCUCGCCCGAAGAAAACCUAGAUCAGGCUCCUUUGGUGCUCACGGUCUCCGCUCCGUUCGAAUUGGUAGAAAGAGAAGAGAAGACGACGAAGAAGAAGAUGCAGCAGCUCUCCACGCGACCGGUACGCUAGUUUAAAUGGUCCUGUGGAUGUUAGGAUCCCGAAUAGCACGAUGACUUCAGUAAUUGAUGCUGAUGGUGGCAAUAUCCAUGAUCAUCAGGAUCAUUUGCUGUCUAUUUCAGAAUUGUUGAACUAAUUGAUAUACGGUUCCCAGCUAUUCACGGAUGGUGCCUUUGUAAGCUGUGAAGCCUGUACAUUUCAGUAUUUAGAGUUCAUGCGACAGGGAAUGUUUCUAGCUGAACCGGGAUUUUGCUGUAGCAAAGCACACAUAUUACAUGCCUGACUCCGCGUGGUAAAGGACCAAUUUGUCGAGACAGUUAUCGUGCAUUGCUCUUGGAUUGCUGCCGUUGGAUCCAGUGAUUAACACAAAGGAUAGUUGGUGCCUUUCACAAUGAUUAAUGUGUAAUUAUAGUCGACAGAGGUUACUUUGAUUAAAGAUGCACAUGAAAUCUGAAGUUGUACAGCAUUUGCUCCACCACCAAAGAAAGAAACUCUUUUUGAAGUCUGGUAGAA